Molecule: ribosomal RNA, 301 nt
Filed under: uncultured bacterium
Lineage: Bacteria
Description: partial 16S ribosomal RNA
Rfam family: Bacterial small subunit ribosomal RNA
Source: RNAcentral
CAGUAGCCGCGGUAAUACGAAGGGUGCAAGCGUUACUCGGAAUUACUGGGCGUAAAGCGUGCGUAGGUGGUGGUUUAAGUCCGUUGUGAAAGCCCCGGGCUCAACCUGGGAACUGCAUCUUAUACUGCGUAGCUGGAGUGCAGUAGAGGGUAGUGGAAUUUCCGGUGUAGCGGUGAAAUGCGUAGAUAUCGGAAGGAACACCAGUGGCGAAGGCGGCUACCUGGACUGACACUGACACUGAGGCGCGAAAGCGUGGGGAGCAAACAGGAUUAGAUACCCCGGUAGUCCCUGUCUCUUAUAC